CAUGGGUAGCAAACAGGAUUUGGUACCCUGGUAGUCCAUGCUGUAAACAAUAAAUAUUAAAUAUUUGAUCUGGUUAAACUUAAUUAAAUUUUUUAUUUGAAAUAAAUAAUUUAUAAAAGGGAAGAAAAUUUUAUUUAAAAUUUUGAUAAUCAAAUAUUCAAAGUUAACACGUUAAAUAUUUCGCCUGGGGAGUAAAACCGCAAGGUUGAAACUCAAAGGAAUUGACGGGAGCUUAUACUUACGGUGGAGCAUGUGGUUUAAUCCGAUAGUCCGCGUGAAAUCUUACCAAUUUUUGACAGUUAUUUCGUUUUAAAAGAAAUAAACAGGUGUUGCAUGGUCGUUGUCAGCUUAUGUUUUGAAAUUUUAUAAGUAUAACCCUUAAUUUAAUUUACUAAUAGUUAGAAAAAUUUAUGAUAAAAUUUACUAAAUAUGUACUAUUAAAUUUGAAAUAUGAAAAUUUUUUUUUAUAUUUUUAAGGAUGAAAAUAGAUCGUUAUGACCCUUAUAAA
This 508-nucleotide ribosomal RNA is filed under the name Blastocystis sp. RNAcentral's name for it is "partial small subunit ribosomal RNA". It matches the Rfam family "Bacterial small subunit ribosomal RNA", at positions 760 to 1208 of the family's 1533-position model. The record is from RNAcentral. Lineage: Eukaryota; Bigyra; Opalinata; Blastocystidae.